RNAcentral lists this long non-coding RNA (627 nucleotides) under Coturnix japonica (Japanese quail). RNAcentral's name for it is "lncRNA (ENSCJPG00005003601.1)". The record is from RNAcentral. Lineage: Eukaryota; Metazoa; Chordata; Aves; Galliformes; Phasianidae.
AUGGAGGAGAAACCUCCUAAACACCCCAAGGUGGCCUGGGAGGAGAGUGGGGCUCCCCAGGAGAGAAAAUCUCCACCGGAGCCCUACGAAGUGACUGAGGUCACCCCACUGCGUGCUGAUGCUGACUGGCUGCCUCUGUAUGAACUGGAUGAGGUGGCCGUAAAUGUCAUCGAAACCUAUGGCAUCAGCAAGGAAAAGGAUCUGGUGCAGAAGAUGCAGUACCUGAACUGUAUUUGCUCACUGUGCAGCGCUGCUGAACAGAAGGGCUUGACAGUGUACCUGGAUAUCUUCUGCUUCCUAAACAAUGUGACAGAGAACAUUGAGGUGAGGGGACAUGGCACCCAGGUACCCUGUAAGAAGGACAGAGCAGGGGGAGAGGGAGGCAGGGAAAUCAUGCACAGACACCAAAGUUCCCCAGAUGAGACUCCAGGUGCUGCUGAGACCUCAGCAGUGGAGGCAGACAGCAGCACCAGUGUGACAGGGUUUGCUGAGGGCCACUGGGGAGACACAGGCCCUACCGGUCAGUGGCAGGUUUUCUGUUGGUGGGUGCUGGCAGCUGCCAGGUGCCAUCCUGAUUUGAUUGUGCUUUGCAGGUUCUGUUGUGUGAGGAGCCCAGGGAUCAGCUGA